This 301-nucleotide ribosomal RNA is filed under the name uncultured bacterium. RNAcentral's name for it is "partial 16S ribosomal RNA". It matches the Rfam family "Bacterial small subunit ribosomal RNA", at positions 509 to 807 of the family's 1533-position model. The record is from RNAcentral.
CAGCAGCCACGGUAAUACGUAGGUGGCAAGCGUUGUCCGGAAUUAUUGGGCGUAAAGGGCUCGCAGGCGGUUUCUUAAGUCUGAUGUGAAAGCCCCCGGCUCAACCGGGGAGGGUCAUUGGAAACUGGGAAACUUGAGUGCAGAAGAGGAGAGUGGAAUUCCACGUGCAGCGGUGAAAUGCGUAGAGAUGUGGAGGAACACCAGUGGCGAAGGCGACUCUCUGGUCUGUAACUGACGCUGAGGAGCGAAAGCGUGGGGAGCGAACAGGAUUAGAUACCCGAGUAGUCCCUGUCUCUUAUAC